This 268-nucleotide long non-coding RNA is filed under the name Setaria viridis. RNAcentral's name for it is "long non-coding RNA (SVIR_LNC006307)". The record is from RNAcentral. Lineage: Eukaryota; Viridiplantae; Streptophyta; Magnoliopsida; Poales; Poaceae.
UAAAUGAUGCUAAGUUUCACCCUAAUAAGUACAUAAACAACAAAAGCAUGGGGGUACAUAAGCCCCAUGUACAAACAGCAUUUUUAGUUUGUAUCCUUGAAUUCUGAAUCCAAGAAAAGGUAUAGCCUAUAUAACUUUCCAAACCCGUAAAGACCCAGCUACAAAUGGCAAUCGAUGCUAUCCUCAAGUGUUGUGAACCGAGUAAAUUUCUACCUUGUCAAAAAGGAAUAAUGUCCAACGUUUCUAAAGCUACAGGAAAUAGGGUAUG